GCGUUUAAUAAGGCGACAGCAGAGUUAUUAUUUGGAGCUGAUAACCCAGUAAUUAAGCAGCAACGAGUUGCAACUAUUCAAGGUCUGUCAGGGACUGGUUCUCUUAGACUAGCAGCUGCUCUUAUAGAACGAUACUUCCCUGGUGCAAAAGUUCUUAUAUCUUCUCCAACUUGGGGGAAUCAUAAAAAUAUUUUCAAUGAUGCGAGAGUUCCAUGGUCUGAGUAUCGAUAUUAUGACCCUAAAACAGUUGGUUUGGAUUUUGAAGGGAUGAUGUCUGAUAUUAAGGCAGCACCUGAAGGAUCUUUUGUGCUG
RNAcentral lists this unclassified non-coding RNA (312 nucleotides) under Hevea brasiliensis (rubber tree). Lineage: Eukaryota; Viridiplantae; Streptophyta; Magnoliopsida; Malpighiales; Euphorbiaceae. The record is from RNAcentral.